GACGAACGCUGGCGGCGUGCUUAACACAUGCAAGUCGAACGGAAAGGCCCUGCUUUUGUGGGGUGCUUGAGUGGCGAACGGGUGAGUAACACGUGAGUAACCUGCCCUUGACUUUGGGAUAACUUCAGGAAACUGGGGCUAAUACCGGAUAGGAGCUCCUGCUGCAUGGUGGGGGUUGGAAAGUUUCGGCGGUUGGGGAUGGACUCGCGGCUUAUCAGCUUGUUGGUGGGGUAGUGGCUUACCAAGGCUUUGACGGGUAGCCGGCCUGAGAGGGUGACCGGCCACAUUGGGCCUGAGCUGCGGCCCAGCCUCCUACGGGAGGCAGCAGUGGGGAAUAUUGCACAAUGGGCGGAAGCCUGAUGCAGCAACGCCGCGUGCGGGAUGACGGCCUUCGGGUUGUAAACCGCUUUCGCCUGUGACGAAGCGUGAGUGACGGUAAUGGGUAAAGAAGCACCGGCUAACUACGUG
This 468-nucleotide ribosomal RNA is filed under the name uncultured bacterium. RNAcentral's name for it is "partial 16S ribosomal RNA". It matches the Rfam family "Bacterial small subunit ribosomal RNA", at positions 28 to 507 of the family's 1533-position model. The record is from RNAcentral.